GGUUUGACUGCCCCGAGGCGGAAGCUUCGAUCGCCCCGACACAUGGUUCGACUACCCCGACCACGGGAGAAUAAAGAGGAAGAAGACUGGACUUUUUUGCCUUCCAUCACAGUGAGAAAUGUGGGGAAUCCACUGUGGUGGAUGUUUAUGUUAACUUUUAUGUAGAUGUGUGUUUUGUUGCUUUUUUUUCCUUUCCCGUAUGGUUGUAUGGUAAUUUGCAUAUCACUGUACCUUAAUUGGUACACGUGACAAUUGACAAUAAAAGACCUUUGAAAUCUUUGAAUAUGAGUUCGGUCAGUGGUUCUCGACAGUAAAUGAGUCAAACAGACAAGCAAGAUCUCAUCUGCUAAACUAAAUGAUUUUGUCUGGUACAUUGUAAGAAAGCCACAAUUAGUUAAUGGAGGAGAGAAAGGAGAAAAUAUAAGCCUGAAUAUGUUAUUGAGUCAUAGAGACAUAUAGUGUGGAAACAGGGCCUUCGGCCCGACUUGUCCACAGCGACCAACAUGUCCCAUCCACAUGUCCCACCUGCUUGUGUUUGGCCCAGAUCCCACUAAAUCUGUCCUAUCUAUGUGCCUGUUCAAAUGUUUCUUAAACAUUGCAACUGUACCUGCCUUAACUACCUCCUCCGGCAUCUCGUUCCAUACACCCACCAUUAUUUGUGUGAAAAAAUUAUACCUCAGGUUCCAUUAAUGUCCCCCCCUCACCUUAAACCUCUGUCACCUGGUUGUAUUAAUGUGUGUCAGCAACUCCCGUUCAGGACAGAAUCUCCUACAUUCAGUCAUCUAACAAUUCUUACAACCAAUGGCCAUUUUAAUUAGAUAUUAGGCCCAGCAUCCAAGGAACUGGAGCUGGAAUGGAGUCUUUGGAAAUUUGAUAGAGAAGUCUGCCAAGGAUAAAUCAUAGCAGUGCACAAACUGCAGUGGAAAUGGAUCGUUCGACACGGGAACAGAAGACAGCAAAUCUAAACCACAGACAAUCCUGAUGUGCGCAGAGUGGAAGUGUUAAAAUGCCAUUAAUGAAUCAGGAUCUGAGCAUGAAAUUACAAGUGGAUUGAAAUCCUGGAAGGAACUUUAUUACUUUUAGUCCACAUUAACAGAAACACCAGGACAACAAAGGUGAAAGACCAUUAUUGGAAAUUAAAUAAAGAGCAGCUGUUC
Leucoraja erinaceus (little skate) is the source of this 1157-nucleotide long non-coding RNA. RefSeq lists it as uncharacterized. Lineage: Eukaryota; Metazoa; Chordata; Chondrichthyes; Rajiformes; Rajidae. The transcript is spliced from 2 exons. The record is from RefSeq and is a predicted model, not a curated record.